AUGGCGUCUCCCGGGCACACCGCCUCCAGAGUUCCAGACUCCUUCCUGCCUGGACCCCGCUCCCACGUGCCCCCUCUCCUCUUUUUAAGACCGCGGUCAGGCCGGCCACCGUCCCAUCCCACCACCACCUUCCUCCUCUGCCCCCGCCCAGCUCGUUCCAUUUUGAAGAAGCAAGAAACAGCAGCGCGCACAUCUCGCUGCUCGACGUCGUCGGAGGAAGAGGCGAGGGUGAUGGAGCGGCGGAGGGCUGCAUGGGCCGCGGUGCUGGUGGCGGUGGCCGCGUGCGCGGCGCUGCCGGCGAAGACGACGGCGAACAAGAUCAAAGUCAACUGGUUGCCCAACACCAACUACUCCGGCUGGGAGCAGGAGCACGGGCCCUUCUACAAGGGCGACUGGCUCGUGUUCUACUACACGGCGGGGCAGGCGGACGUGGUGGAGGUGAACGAGUCCGGGUACAACCGGUGCGACGCCAGCAACGCCAUCUACAACUACAGCAAGGGCCGCAGCUUCGCCUUCGAGCUCAACGAGACCAAGACCUACUACUUCAUCUGCAGCUUCGGCUACUGCCCCGGCGGGAUGCGCCUGGCCAUCAAGUCCCAGAAGCUGCCGCCGCCGUCGCCGCCGCCCUCCGCGCAGCACCACCGCUCCGCCGCGCUCGCCGGCCCGCGCGCCGGGGUCGCCCUCUACGCCGCCGUCGCCGUCCUCGCCGCGCUCCUCAGGGCGGUCUAG
This 729-nucleotide ribosomal RNA is filed under the name Triticum aestivum (bread wheat). RNAcentral describes it as "partial small subunit ribosomal RNA". The record is from RNAcentral. Lineage: Eukaryota; Viridiplantae; Streptophyta; Magnoliopsida; Poales; Poaceae.